UACGUAGGGUCCAAGCGUUAUCCGGAAUCACUGGGCGUAAAGCGUGCGUAGGUGGAUUGUUAAGUGCGGUGCGAAAUCCUGUGGCUCAACCAUAUGGACUGUAUCGCAUACUGGCAAUCUAGAGGACAUGAGAGGCAAGUGGAAUUACUGGUGUAGCAGUGAAAUGCGUAGAGAUGUGGAGGAACACCGAUGGCGAAGGCAGCCCCCUGGGCUAACACUGACGCUCAGGCACGAAAGCGUGGGGAGCAAACAGG
Molecule: ribosomal RNA, 254 nt
Filed under: uncultured bacterium
Lineage: Bacteria
Description: partial 16S ribosomal RNA
Rfam family: Bacterial small subunit ribosomal RNA
Source: RNAcentral